GACGAACGCUGGCGGCGUGCUUAACACAUGCAAGUCGAACGGAAAGGCCUUUUCGUUGGUACUCGAGUGGCGGACGGGGGAGUAACACGUAGGUGAGCUUCCCUGCACUCUGGGAUAAGCCUGGGAAAGUGGGUCUAAUACCGGAUAGGACCGCACUUUAGUGUGGGUGGGGGAAAGUGUGUUCGGUGGAGGAUGAGCCCGCGGCCUAUCAGCUUGUUGGGGGGGUAAUGGCCUACCAAGGCGGCGACGGGGAGGCGGACUGUGAGGUUGGUCCGCCACACUGGGUCCGAGGUACGGCCCCGGUUGCGAAGGGGGGACGCAGGGGGGAAUAUUGACCAAUGGGCGCCAGGCUGAUGAAGAGAGGCCGCGGGGCGGAAGACGGUCUUAGGGUUGUAAAACACGUUCGUCAGGGACGAAGCGCUUUGUGACGGUACCUGGAGAAGAAGCACCGGCUAACUACGUG
RNAcentral lists this ribosomal RNA (463 nucleotides) under uncultured bacterium. RNAcentral describes it as "partial 16S ribosomal RNA". It matches the Rfam family "Bacterial small subunit ribosomal RNA", at positions 28 to 507 of the family's 1533-position model. The record is from RNAcentral.